AUGGGACGCAUCCCCGGGGGAUGCUCCUCCAAAGCUUUUAUCGGGCGAGCGCAGUGGCUCACGCCUGUAAUUCCUGCACUUUGGGAGGCUAAGGGUCUCACUCUAUUGUCUAGGCUCGAAUGCAGUGACGUGAUCAUGGAUCACUGCAGUCCUCAACUUACUGGGCUCAGGAUGAAAGGCUUCCUAGCACAAACACCACCCCUGGAGUUCCCGGUACAUCAAUACCAGCCUGGGGAUCACGUUCUCAUCAAGAGUUGGAAGAGGGAAAGCUUGAACCAGCUUAGGAGGACCUCAUCUGGUACUCUUGAUGAAUGA
RNAcentral lists this long non-coding RNA (315 nucleotides) under Homo sapiens (human). RNAcentral describes it as "non-protein coding ZNF561-AS1:10". The record is from RNAcentral. Lineage: Eukaryota; Metazoa; Chordata; Mammalia; Primates; Hominidae.